Molecule: long non-coding RNA, 287 nt
Organism: Drosophila novamexicana
Lineage: Eukaryota; Metazoa; Arthropoda; Insecta; Diptera; Drosophilidae
Exons: 2
Source: RefSeq, a predicted model, not a curated record
CAUCUAAACUGAUGCAUGAAUACCCAGUAACCAAAGGCUGCCAUCAAAUGUGAAUAUUAUGUUAUAUUGUGCGUGAGUUGUACAAUCAUCAGCUGACGAUAACAGACCAGACGCAAACCGGCUUGAUAUGUAUUUGUUUGGUAUGAAUAUCGUUUUCUGUUUUACAGUUUAUUGAACUUUGACGCUCGUACAUUAACUUUAAGCAAUAAAUACACAAUGAUUACGAUUUAAUUAACCUAAACAAGAGGAUCUAAACUAAGUUCACAUAGCGCAGUCCCUUCAGCAAA